Molecule: transfer RNA, 77 nt
Filed under: Leptolyngbya sp. FACHB-16
Lineage: Bacteria; Bacillati; Cyanobacteriota; Cyanophyceae; Leptolyngbyales; Leptolyngbyaceae
Also listed under: 4 other names
Description: tRNA-Leu
Rfam family: tRNA
About the family: Transfer RNA (tRNA) molecules are approximately 80 nucleotides in length.
Source: RNAcentral
GCUCCUGUGGCGAAACGGAAAACGCACUAGACCGAGGAUCUAGUUUUUUGUGGGUUCGACUCCCAUCAGGAGUACCA